UCCUGUGGCGAAGGCGCCCGGCUGAAACGGGUCCGACGGUGAGGGACGAAGGCCAGGGGAGCGAACCGGAUUAGAUACCCGGGUAGUCCUGGCUGUAAACGAUGCGGGCUAGGUGUCACCAGAGCCACGAGCUCCGGUGGUGCCGGAGGGAAGCCGUUAAGCCCGCCGCCUGGGAAGUACNGCCGCAAGGCUGAAACUUAAAGGAAUUGGCGGGGGAGCACUACAACGGGUGGAGCCUGCGGUUCAAUUGGAUUCAACGCCGGGAAGCUUACCGGGGGAGACAGCUGGAUGAAGGUCGGGCUGAAGACCCUACCAGACUAGCUGAGAGGUGGUGCAUGGCCGCCGUCAGUUCGUACUGUGAAGCAUCCUGUUAAGUCAGGCAACGAGCGAGACCCGCGCCCUCAGUUGCCAGCGGAUCCCUUCGGGGAUGCCGGGCACACUGAGGGGACUGCCGGCGCUAAGCCGGAGAAAGGUGCGGGCAACGGCAGGUCCGUAUGCCCCGAAUCCCCCGGGCUACACGCGGGCUACAAUGGCCGGGACAAUGGGUGCCGACCCCGAAAGGGGUAGGUAAUCCCCUAAACCCGGUCUAACCUGGGAUCGAGGGCUGCAACNNNGCCCUCGUGAACCUGGAGUCCGU
Molecule: ribosomal RNA, 637 nt
Filed under: uncultured archaeon
Lineage: Archaea
Description: bacterial SSU rRNA
Rfam family: Archaeal small subunit ribosomal RNA
Source: RNAcentral